CGGAGGGAGCUAGCGUUGUUCGGAAUUACUGGGCGUAAAGCGCGCGUAGGCGGCUUUUUAAGUCAGAGGUGAAAGCCCGGGGCUCAACCCCGGAAUUGCCUUUGUAAACUGGAAAGACUAGAAUCUUGGAGAGGUCAGUGGAAUUCCGAGUGUAGAGGUGAAAUUCGUAGAUAUUCGGAAGAACACCAGUGGCGAAGGCGACUGACUGGACAAGUAUUGACGCUGAGGUGCGAAAGCGUGGGGGAGCAAACAGGAUU
RNAcentral lists this ribosomal RNA (257 nucleotides) under uncultured bacterium. Its description in RNAcentral is "partial 16S ribosomal RNA". It matches the Rfam family "Bacterial small subunit ribosomal RNA", at positions 526 to 779 of the family's 1533-position model. The record is from RNAcentral.